Molecule: ribosomal RNA, 464 nt
Filed under: uncultured bacterium
Lineage: Bacteria
Description: partial 16S ribosomal RNA
Rfam family: Bacterial small subunit ribosomal RNA
Source: RNAcentral
ACGAACGCUGGCGGCGUGCUUAACACAUGCAGGUCGAACGGAAAGGCCCUGCUUGCAGGGUACUCGAGUGGCGAACGGGUGAGUAACACGUGGGUGAUCUGCCCUGCACUUCGGGAUAAGCCUGGGAAACUGGGUCUAAUACCGGAUAGGAGCCAUUUUUAGUGUGAUGGUUGGAAAGUUUUUUCGGUGUAGGAUGAGCUCGCGGCCUAUCAGCUUGUUGGUGGGGUAAUGGCCUACCAAGGCGGCGACGGGUAGCCGGCCUGAGAGGGUGGACGGCCACAUUGGGACUGAGAGACGGCCCAGACUCCUACGGGAGGCAGCAGUGGGGAAUAUUGCACAAUGGGCGCAAGCCUGAUGCAGCGACGCCGCGUGGGGGAUGACGGCCUUCGGGUUGUAAACUCCUUUCGCUAGGGACGAAGCUUUUUGUGACGGUACCUAGAUAAGAAGCACCGGCUAACUACGUG